RNAcentral lists this ribosomal RNA (597 nucleotides) under Maribacter spongiicola. RNAcentral describes it as "bacterial SSU rRNA". It matches the Rfam family "Bacterial small subunit ribosomal RNA", at positions 167 to 760 of the family's 1533-position model. Lineage: Bacteria; Pseudomonadati; Bacteroidota; Flavobacteriia; Flavobacteriales; Flavobacteriaceae. The record is from RNAcentral.
UGCCCCGUGGUACCAUGGCCCGGCAUCGGGAUAUGGUUAAAGCCUUCGGGCGGUACAAGAUGGCCAUGCGUCCCAUUAGCUUGUUGGUAAGGUAACGGCUUACCAAGGCUACGAUGGGUAGGGGCCCUGAGAGGGGGAUCCCCCACACUGGUACUGAGACACGGACCAGACUCCUACGGGAGGCAGCAGUGAGGAAUAUUGGACAAUGGAGGAGACUCUGAUCCAGCCAUGCCGCGUGCAGGAAGAAUGCCCUAUGGGUAGUAAACUGCUUUUAUACGGGAAGAAAAAGAGCUACGUGUAGCUUACUGACGGUACCGUAAGAAUAAGGACCGGCUAACUCCGUGCCAGCAGCCGCGGUAAUACGGAGGGUCCGAGCGUUAUCCGGAAUUAUUGGGUUUAAAGGGUCCGUAGGCGGGCCGAUAAGUCAGGGGUGAAAGUUUGCAGCUCAACUGUAAAAUUGCCUUUGAUACUGUUGGUCUUGAGUUAUAGUGAAGUUGCCGGAAUAUGUAGUGUAGCGGUGAAAUGCAUAGAUAUUACAUAGAACACCGAUUGCGAAGGCAGGUGACUAACUAUAUACUGACGCUGAUGGACGAAAGC